Molecule: ribosomal RNA, 440 nt
Filed under: uncultured bacterium
Lineage: Bacteria
Description: partial 16S ribosomal RNA
Rfam family: Bacterial small subunit ribosomal RNA
Source: RNAcentral
CCUACGGGUGGCAGCAGUGGGGAAUAUUGGGCAAUGGGCGCAAGCCUGACCCAGCAACGCCGCGUGAAGGAAGAAGGCUUUCGGGUUGUAAACUUCUUUUGUCAGGGAAGAGUAGAAGACGGUACCUGACGUAUAAACCACGGCUAACUACGUGCCAGCAGCCGCGGGAAUACGUAGUUGGCACGUGUCGUCCGGUUUUACUGGGUGAAAAGGGCGUGUAGCCGGGUUGAAAAGUGAGAUGUGAAAUCCUGCGGCUUAACCGCAGAACUGCUUUUGAAACUGUUGAUCUUGAGUACUGGAGAGGCAGAUGGAAGUCCUAGUGUAGCGGUGAAAUGCGUAGAUAUUAGGAGGAACACCAGUGGCGAAGGCGGUCUGCUGGACAGCAACUGACGGUGAGGCGCGAAAGCGUGGGGAGCAAACAGGAUUAGAUACCCCAGUUC